CAUGCAAGUCGAACGGUGAACCUUGGAGCUUGCUCUAAGGGGAUCAGUGGCGAACGGGUGAGUAACACGUGAGUAACCUGCCCCGGACUCUGGAAUAAGCGCUGGAAACGGCGUCUAAUACCGGAUACGAGACGCAACCGCAUGGUUAGUGUCUGGAAAGUUUUUCGGUCUGGGAUGGACUCGCGGCCUAUCAGCUUGUUGGUGAGGUAAUGGCUCACCAAGGCGACGACGGGUAGCCGGCCUGAGAGGGCGACCGGCCACACUGGGACUGAGACACGGCCCAGACUCCUACGGGAGGCAGCAGUGGGGAAUAUUGCACAAUGGGCGAAAGCCUGAUGCAGCGACGCCGCGUGAGGGAUGACGGCCUUCGGGUUGUAAACCUCUUUCAGCAGGGAAGAAGCGAAAGUGACGGUACCUGCAGAAGAAGCACCGGCUAACUACGUGCCAGCAGCCGCGGUAAUACGUAGGGUGCGAGCGUUGUCCGGAAUUAUUGGGCGUAAAGAGCUUGUAGGCGGUUUGUCGCGUCUGCUGUGAAAAUCCGGGGCUCAACCCCGGACUUGCAGUGGGUACGGGCAGACUAGAGUGUGGUAGGGGAGACUGGAAUUCCUGGUGUAGCGGUGAAAUGCGCAGAUAUCAGGAGGAACACCGAUGGCGAAGGCAGGUCUCUGGGCCACUACUGACGCUGAGAAGCGAAAGCAUGGGGAGCGAACAGGAUUAGAUACCCUGGUAGUCCAUGCCGUAAACGUUGGGCGCUAGGUGUGG
This 762-nucleotide ribosomal RNA is filed under the name Knoellia subterranea. Its description in RNAcentral is "bacterial SSU rRNA". It matches the Rfam family "Bacterial small subunit ribosomal RNA", at positions 54 to 825 of the family's 1533-position model. The record is from RNAcentral. Lineage: Bacteria; Bacillati; Actinomycetota; Actinomycetes; Micrococcales; Intrasporangiaceae.